UCUUUUAUAUGGUCAAUACAUAGCAAUAAAGUCAAUACAUAGCAAUAACAUUACUUAUUACACUAUUAUUUUGUUUUUUCCCGUCUUUACCCCUAGUAUUCAUAACCAAUGCAAAGCAAACGUGUUAUAGCGUCGUGUGCUAUACGCAGAUACGUAACCACUCUUUCUCACAAGUGCCAACAGAAAAGCUUACAGCCCACUCUGCCCCUGGACUUUUGCUCCGUGAGCAACAAUGAUGUUUACUCACUGAACAGAAUAUUACACGACCUUGUGAAGUAUGGGUCUUUAACCUCUGCACUCCACCUGUUUGAAGAAAUGCCUAAACGUGAUGUGGUUACAUGGAAUAUUAUGAUUUCUGGAUAUAGUCAUUAUGGGUUUCCAAGAAAAUCAGUGUACUUGUAUAAUAAAAUGGUUUCUCAAGGUAUCAGGGAGAACUCGUCCACUUUUUCCUUUAUAUUGAGCAUAUGUGCUAACGCAGGUUUAUACAAAGAAGGGCUUGAGAUUCUCAGUAGAGUAGUUGUAUUGGGAUUUAGUAUGAACUUAUAUAUUGCCAGUGCACUUGUUAAUAUGUAUAUACAAAUGGGUCUUACAGAUGUUGCUUUCAAAGUGUUUUAUGACUUACCAAAACGAAACUUACCUGUAUGGAACUUGGUUUUACGUGGAAUUUGUGAAGCGGGUAAGCCCAAUGAGUUCUUAAGAUUGUAUAGUGAUAUGAAGUUGGAAAAUGUGGAGCCUAAUGGGCUUACAUUUUGUUAUUUGAUUCGAGGUUGUUGUAUAGAGAGACUUAUUGACAAAGGCAGGGAGAUACAUUCCCUUGUGAUUAAGACGGGGUGGUUAGAAUCAAAUAUCUUUUUAGCUAAUGCAUUGGUGGAUUUUUACUCUGCUUGUGGCAUUUUGGUUGAUACAAAUAAAGCAUUUCAGAGUAUUCCACCUCAGGAUGUUAUUUCAUGGAAUUCAAUGGUUUCUAUUUAUGCUGCCAAUAAUUUGUUGCAUGAAGCUGUUCAAGUCCUAGAAGAGAUGAGAUUGUGGGACAAACAUCCAUCUGCUAUGUCUUUCGUGGCAUUGUUGAAUUUAUCAAGUCGCAGAAAGGAACUACUCUUUGGAAAACAAAUGCACAGUUUUGUUAUGAAAUUGGGCUUUGAUUAUGGAAAUGUCCUCAUUCAGUCGGCUUUGAUUGAUAUGUAUGGGAAAAAUGAUGACAUUGAAAAUUCGGUUUCUGUAUUCCAGAGCAACCCUAUAAGAAGUCUCGAAUGUUGUAAUUCAAUGAUGACAUCUUUGCUGCAUCUUGGUGUCCCCCAAGAUGUGUUUGAGCUGUUCAGUUGGAUGGUUUGUGAAAAUAUUGCGUUUGAUGAAGUGAGUCUGUCCUCAACAAUAAAGGCAUUAUCAUUCUAUUCCUCUCCUAGCUUGGAUAGCUGUGAUUUGUUACAUUGCUGUGCAAUAAAAUCAGGUUUUGAUUUUGAUAUUAUGGUAUUAUGUUCUCUGAUUGAUGCGUAUUCAAGAUCUGGACAGAUUAGGUACUCUCAGAAGAUUUUUGAAGUAUUUCCUUCACCUAAUAUCAUCGGUUUCACUUCAAUAAUUAAUGCAUAUGCUCGGAAAGGAAUGGGAUGUGAAUGCCUUGGAUUGUUUGAAGAAAUGAUCCAAAAGGGUCUAAAACCAGAUGAAGUAACAUUCUUAUGUAUAUUGUUGGGCUGCAACCAUUCAGGCCUAGUUGUAGAGGGGAAAAAGAUUUUUGAUUCAAUGAGACUUCAUGGGGUCUUUCCAGACAGGCGGCACUAUUCAUGUAUGGUGGAUCUUCUGGGCCGUGCAGGUCUAGUUAUUGAGGCAGAAGAGUUGUUAAACCAUGCCUCAUCGGCAGGAGAUUCUGUGAUGUGGAGCUCACUUUUGCGAAGUUGCAGGAUUCAUCAAAAUGAGCAUGUUGGAAGAAGAGCAGCUAAAAAGUUAAUGGAUCUUGAGCCAGAGGAUCCUUCUGUUUGGUUACAGGCCUCUAAUUUUUAUUCUGAAAUUGGGGAGUUCGAGACUGCAAUAUAUAUUCGAGAGGUUGCAGUUGCGAGGAAGAUGAGCAGAGAUAUUGGCUAUAGUUUAAUUCGGGUCCAUGAGUGCCAUUAAAUACACUUGAAUAAAAAGUGUGUAAAAAGGACAUGUGGAUAGCUAAUUGGCUGUUUGAUCUGCAGUACAUUGUGGAUAAGCUUUUUCUUAAAAAAGUGUAUAUCUACCAGAAUGGAUACUUCCUCUGCCUCUAUACUUUUGAAGCAAGCAUGCCAUGCUUCUUGUUAACCAACUCCACUACCAAGUACAAGUUGAAUAAGAAUUUUAUGUCUUAUUUGGUCUCUCCAAUUACUAGACAACCUUUGUCUAGUGCUUCUUUUCCUUUUCCAGAUUUUCAUAUUUGAUGACGAGAUAAAUCUACUGCAUAGAUAAUUUGACUGCCUAAAAGACGGACUUUUGAAGGUCGCGCUGCAACAUGUAUUGCUGUAUGGAUGAAGUCAUCCUGUCAGAGCUUGAGGAUUUGGAUGCAGAAGAAGGUGAUGAAGCAGAGUUUUUUGACCUCCCCAAAUGGGAAACUCAUC
Nicotiana attenuata is the source of this 2567-nucleotide RNA transcript. It is a transcript of the gene named probable polygalacturonase At1g80170, with no coding region annotated. NCBI's taxonomy places the organism in Eukaryota, Viridiplantae, Streptophyta, Magnoliopsida, Solanales, Solanaceae. The transcript is spliced from 2 exons. The record is from RefSeq and is a predicted model, not a curated record.